RNAcentral lists this transfer RNA (63 nucleotides) under Mantheyus phuwuanensis. RNAcentral's name for it is "tRNA-Tyr". Lineage: Eukaryota; Metazoa; Chordata; Lepidosauria; Squamata; Agamidae. The record is from RNAcentral.
GGUUAGGUGGCUGAUUUAGGCGGCGAAUUGUAAAUUCGCCCAUGAGGACUUCCUCCCUGUCCA